AGGCUUAACACAUGCAAGUCGAGGGGCAGCAUGGUCUUAGCUUGCUAAGGCCGAUGGCGACCGGCGCACGGGUGAGUAACACGUAUCCAACCUGCCGUCUACUCUUGGACAGCCUUCUGAAAGGAAGAUUAAUACAAGAUGGCAUCAUGAGUCCGCAUGUUCACAUGAUUAAAGGUAUUCCGGUAGACGAUGGGGAUGCGUUCCAUUAGAUAGUAGGCGGGGUAACGGCCCACCUAGUCUUCGAUGGAUAGGGGUUCUGAGAGGAAGGUCCCCCACAUUGGAACUGAGACACGGUCCAAACUCCUACGGGAGGCAGCAGUGAGGAAUAUUGGUCAAUGGGCGAGAGCCUGAACCAGCCAAGUAGCGUGAAGGAUGACUGCCCUAUGGGUUGUAAACUUCUUUUAUAAAGGAAUAAAGUCGGGUAUGCAUACCCGUUUGCAUGUACUUUAUGAAUAAGGAUCGGCUAACUCCGUGCCAGCAGCCGCGGUAAUACGGAGGAUCCGAGCGUUAUCCGGAUUUAUUGGGUUUAAAGGGAGCGUAGAUGGAUGUUUAAGUCAGUUGUGAAAGUUUGCGGCUCAACCGUAAAAUUGCAGUUGAUACUGGAUAUCUUGAGUGCAGUUGAGGCAGGCGGAAUUCGUGGUGUAGCGGUGAAAUGCCUAGAUAUCACGAAGAACUCCGAUUGCGAAGGCAGCCUGCUAAGCUGCAACUGACAUUGAGGCUCGAAAGUGUGGGUAUCAAACAGGAUUAGAUACCCUGGUAGUCCACACGGUAAACGAUGAAUACUCGCUGUUUGCGAUAUACAGCAAGCGGCCAAGCGAAAGCGUUAAGUAUUCCACCUGGGGAGUACGCCGGCAACGGUGAAACUCAAAGGAAUUGACGGGGGCCCGCACAAGCGGAGAAACAUGUGGUUUAAUUCGAUGAUACGCGAGGAACCUUACCCGGGCUUAAAUUGCAGAUGAAUUACGGUGAAAGCCGUAAGCCGCAAGGCAUCUGUGAAGGUGCUGCAUGGUUGUCGUCAGCUCGUGCCGUGAGGUGUCGGCUUAAGUGCCAUAACGAGCGCAACCCUUGUUGUCAGUUACUAACAGGUUCCGCUGAGGACUCUGACAAGACUGCCAUCGUAAGAUGUGAGGAAGGUGGGGAUGACGUCAAAUCAGCACGGCCCUUACGUCCGGGGCUACACACGUGUUACAAUGGGGGGUACAGAGGGCCGCUACCACGCGAGUGGAUGCCAAUCCCAAAAACCUCUCUCAGUUCGGACUGGAGUCUGCAACCCGACUCCACGAAGCUGGAUUCGCUAGUAAUCGCGCAUCAGCCACGGCGCGGUGAAUACGUUCCCGGGCCUUGUACACACCGCCCGUCAAGCCAUGGGAGCCGGGGGUACCUGAAGUGCGUAACCGCGAGGAGCGCCCUAGGGUAAAACUGGUGACUGGGGCUAAGU
Molecule: ribosomal RNA, 1438 nt
Filed under: uncultured organism
Description: SSU rRNA
Rfam family: Bacterial small subunit ribosomal RNA
Source: RNAcentral